CACCAUUUCUAUGCCACCUCCAGCCCACCACCGCACCACCACACCUCCCUCUCUUCUUCUUUUUCUUCUUCUUUUUUCUUCUUCUUUCUUUCUUUCCUUUUUCUUUCUUUCUUUCCCUUUUCUUCUUCCCUGCAACUGGGUCUGCGUCACUGCCAGCGACUGCAGCAGCUCCAGCAAGCCUCUGACCACCGGAUUGCGCCUCUGCCGCCGCUCCAGCGUGCCUCNNNN
Molecule: long non-coding RNA, 228 nt
Filed under: Jatropha curcas
Lineage: Eukaryota; Viridiplantae; Streptophyta; Magnoliopsida; Malpighiales; Euphorbiaceae
Description: long non-coding RNA (JCUR_LNC000703)
Source: RNAcentral